UCCGUAGGCGGGUAAUUAAGUCAGAGGUGAAAUCCCACAGCUUAACUGUGGAACUGCCUUAGAUACUGGUUAUCUUGAGUUUUAGUGAAGUAGAUAGAAUGUGUAGUGUAGCGGUGAAAUGCAUAGAUAUUACACAGAAUACCGAUUGCGAAGGCAGUCUACUAACUGUACACUGACGCUAAUGGACGAAAGCGUGGGGAGCGAACAGGAUUAGAUACCCUGGUAGUCC
Molecule: ribosomal RNA, 229 nt
Filed under: uncultured bacterium
Lineage: Bacteria
Description: partial 16S ribosomal RNA
Rfam family: Bacterial small subunit ribosomal RNA
Source: RNAcentral